AUACGUAGGGGGCGAGCGUUGUCCGGAAUUACUGGGCGUAAAGCGCGUGUAGGCGGCCAACCAAGUCUGAUGUGAAAGCCCUGGGCUUUACCUGGGAAGUGCAUUGGAAACUGGCUGGCUUGAGUACUGGAGAGGAAGGGGGAAUUCCCGGUGUAGAGGUGAAAUUCGUAGAGAUCGGGAGGAAUACCAGUGGCGAAGGCGCCCUUCUGGACGGUUACUGACGCUGAGACGCGAAAGCGUGGGGAGCAAACAGGAUUAGAUACCCUGGUAGUCCACGCUGUAAACGAUGAGCACUAGGUGUAGCGGGUACUCAUUCCUGCUGUGCCGUAGCUAACGCGUUAAGUGCUCCGCCUGGGGAUUACGGUCGCAAGACUAAA
This 377-nucleotide ribosomal RNA is filed under the name uncultured bacterium. RNAcentral describes it as "bacterial SSU rRNA". It matches the Rfam family "Bacterial small subunit ribosomal RNA", at positions 523 to 898 of the family's 1533-position model. The record is from RNAcentral.